UGAGGUGUUACCUCUCCUGCAGAUACGAGAGGCUUUACUCGAACGCUUCUGCCGCACACAGCCCCCCAACUCCACCAUGUCCCUGGUGAGUUGAUGACUUCAAAUCCUCAGUUCUCCUGCUGAGAGCAGGUUAGAAGCAGCUGUUCCACAGCCUUCCUAAGAGGCACAGCUAGAAGCCAAGAGGAGGCUGGGAUUGCCUUUUAGAAUGAGCAUGCUUUGGGUUCAAACUCCCCAACAAUGGAGAAAGGAGCCCCAUCAGAGCAGCCAGAGUCAGGUUCCUGGGCUCCAGAUUCCAACCUGGACUCCUGGGGACUCCCUUUGUCCCUGGUUUCUCCAUUUGAAAGUCUGCCUCCAGUCACUACAUGAAGGGAAAAUGUAGGAUCGGUAAGCGUGGGAGUCAGCAUAGCUGAGAGCAAAGUUCCUAGGAUUACUGUGGCCCUGGCAGGAGGGCAGGUAAGAACAUGAAGAUGGGUACAACCUCACCAAAGGAGAGCUGAUGAUAAUAGCAAUCACCCUGCACCUGGGCCUUUCUGCCCCUUCCUAGGCUACAUAUGAAACCUACAUCCCAGAACCCAGCAAAGGAAGAAGUGAAGACACCAGCUAGGAAGAAAAAGGAUGGCUUACUGACAGGAACUCUCAUCUUCCAAACAUUAAAGGUGAAGGACAAAUUUUGGUUUGUUCCUUUUCAAAGUUUAGGAAAAGGCGAAGCUACUGGGUGCCUCUUUCUUUAACGUUGACAACAAUAUCAAUAUAAAUGUAGGUUUCAUAGACAUAUGCAUGUAUACAACAAGUUACUGAUCUGAGCACCUUUGUAAGAACACAUUAACAAUUCUUAAGUAGAGAGGAAGUCACCACAGACCACCAA
RNAcentral lists this long non-coding RNA (865 nucleotides) under Ursus americanus (American black bear). Its description in RNAcentral is "lncRNA (ENSUAMG00000008869.1)". The record is from RNAcentral. Lineage: Eukaryota; Metazoa; Chordata; Mammalia; Carnivora; Ursidae.